UUCUUUUUUUUGCAUGUGGCUAUUCAAUUGUUGAAGUGUCAUGGCACCCUUGUCAAAAAUCAAUUGACCAUUAAUGUAGAGAUUUAUUUUGGGACUUUCAGUUUUGUUCCAUCGAUCUAUGUUCCUAUCCUUAUGCUAGUACCACCUGUCUUGUUUAUUGUGACUUUAUAGUCAUGGUGAUACUGGGUAGUGUAAGUCCUCCAACUUUGUUCUUCUUUACAAAAUUGUUUUGGCUGUUUUUUGUCCUUUGCAUUAUUAAAACAUACAUUUUAGGAUCAGCUUGUGAAUUUCUACAACAAAGCCCGCUUUGAUUUUGAUAGACAUUUCAUUGAAUUUACCUAUUUAUUUUAUCAGAGCAUUUCCCCAUGUUUUUAUAAUUCUGAUACUUUUAUCUGGGAUAGUUUUGGGGGCAUUUAUGGUGGGAAGAAGGGAGUUGGGCUAGAUCACCUUUUGAUUUCCUUUUUUGUCUUAGCAUUUGCUCAGUAUUUCCCCCCCUCCUCCCACAUAGUUGCAAAAGAGAUGAUAGGUCUUUAUAAUUGAGAAGCUCGUGGCUAUCAAUUUGUCAGUUGUUAGGAUCUUACUGAGUUCUCCCUGCAGGGUCCUAGGGUAACCUGGAGGAGAGUGAGAGGCUGGCGAUCACAUUGAUGGGUCAGUCAAUACGGGAGCGAUUACUCUUUGUGCCACCAAGAAUGUAGGUCCAAAGAUGAUUCAAGAUGACACAGACACGUGCACGUUAGUUGGCGGGCUGGGCAGGCAGCAAUUGCUUUCAGCAAGGCAUCUGCCAGACUUGUGGGGAAAGAGCAUUCCUGCCAUUUCCUGACACCACGCUCCGUGGGAGGCAGCGCCCAGCCCAGCUCCGAUGCGAUGCAGCAUACACACACGGAGCGCAGGAACUGACUCUCUGGCUUCUUCUGGAUCAAAUGGUACAUGGUGGGGUUUACAACCCUCACUGCUGAUGUUAUAAGGUUAGAGGCAAUGACCUUGGGAGAGUUUACACUCAAUUUAAUUUUUACUGUUUCAUAAAAUGGGAAUUGUUUUCUGCCAGUCAAUAAAAGCAGCGGGCCUCCUGCUGUGUAAUGGAUGUGGAUAGGCUAUUACUGUUUGUUAUAGCCGUUUAACUGCAGGACAGUCUUAUUAGUGGGGAUUUCAGAACGACAGGACUUUUGCCAGCCUCAGGGCUAAUUCUUUAUCCGUGUCAGCAUUAAUGCUGUUACAUAUAACGGGUUAUGGCCACUUCAGAGGCAGAGGAAAGUUCAAAGUCUCAGAAGUUUAAAAUCCACCAGAAAGGAAAGGAGCUGAGAGAACCAGGGGUCUGAGCAAUCAGGAGGUUCAGUGGAGACAUGUCUGAGAUGUAAGCCAAGCAAUCAGAUGUUCCAGGACAUAAUGGUCAGCCAACCUAGCAGGUAAAAGAAGCAUUAUUGAAGGAAUUAGCUAAAUCACAGAGGAGAAGCACAACGCUUAAGGCAAAAAUCAUCGUUGGUUUAGGGAUGGAAAAAUGAUCAAUCGUUUUCCCUGCAUGUUAUGAAAAACAAUACAAAACGUCCUAAAUAUGCCCAGUUGCCAAUUACCUAUCUAAAUUGAGCAGAAGUCCUAUUGAAGCUUAUUUGAAAGAGCGGGUUAUAAAAGGGAACAUGACUUGGCUUUGGAAGGCCUUAAAACUGUCCUCAUUAUACCAGUGUAGUGUAAUCUGAAAGUAGUUUUGCAGUCUUGCUCAUGGGCAAAGAUGUUGGCCUCAGAAGGGACGGGGAGAAGGUCGGAGUCCCAGGCCGUGCUGAAUAUAGGAAACAGAAAACCCACAGGAGAAUCGCUUCCUCAAAGCUGAUGUGUGGCAUUGAAGAAUACUGUGGGUAAAGAAGUCUGGUCAUGGGAAUGGGCCAGAGUUAUGUAUGUGUGUGUGUGUGCACGCGAAAGAGAGAGAGAGAUCUCCAAUUAUUCUUUGUGCCUCUAUUUAAAUUAGGUAGUGAUGGUUAUUAUAUUGGAUCCUUUUAUUUUGACAAUGCUUUACAGUUUAAAAGACAUGCUAACAUAUAACAUCUGUAGCGAGUUUAGGUGGGCCACUUACUGAUGGGACUGACUGGAAGAUCUGGCAAUAGCUUACCCCGUGUGAAUCCCAUGCCUUUCCCACCCGCACCAGCUCCCCUCCCACACUCCCAGUCCCUCUUACCUUGUUCUACUUUUUGCUUCUUCCGUAGCACUCAUCACCCUCUAGUAUACUAUUAGUUUACUUAUUGAUUAGGUUUGUUGCCUGUCUCUCCCCCACUGGAAUGUAGAGGGCAAGAGUCUUGCUUUGUUUUAUUCACUGAUGAAUAAAACACUGAUGAUUCAGGGAUUCACCUAGAACAGCGCCUAUCCUGUGGCACCCAAUGCAUAAUUGAUGGAAUGAAUAAAGACCCAAUAGGGAAGAAAAGGAGGAUUCUUAGCUAAAUAGGGAAGUCAAGAGUUAGAACUUCUUGCCACUGAGGCAAGGUCGUGGCACAGAAGGGAAGUGGGAGUUGUUCCAGCAGGCCGAGGAUUUCUGCUAAAACUGGUAUUUCCUGCAAUGAUCCCGAGAGAAGCAUCUCCCUGAACAGUGGGUCUUUAAUAGUUCACCUGCAGCAACACAGACUGGAAUAAGUCCUACAGAACUCCGUAAUUUGAUGAGCAGUCCUGAGGUUUUUCUUUUUUUUAAGAGCUUGCAGGCUUUGAGGGACUGAAGAGGGGUCCACGAAGAAGCAAUCCACCCAUCAUUUUAAAAUAUGUUGCUAAAAUUCAGUCACAGUGUUAAUUUUAAACAUAGCGUUUGUCCUUAUUUUCAAACCACUGCAUUUUAAUGAAGUUCAGUUUGCCAGGUCUGUACUUAAAAUACAUAGGCUUUAACUAAUUUAAGGAAAGGUCCACAAAGUGGCAAAUGCAUAGGAGGCCUACAUUCCAAAAGAGGAUGUUCCUGGAAAGCUCUAACAAUACAAGGGGGUUUGUUAAUAAUAGGUCCGUUUUAUGGGGAAACUAAGCACCAGAGAGGGCUGAUAAGUUGCUCACAGUCACACUUACUAAUUGGUUAUGCUAAGACAUUGAACAAGUUUGAGUCACCGGAUCAGGAGCAGCCAGUAUUCAAAUCCCACCGAACGUGCAAAUGAAAAGGGUCUUGAAGAGCAACUGACGUGAUUUCCUCAUUUUACAAAUUAAGACACAGGCUCAGUGUAUUAGUCCGGAUUCUCCAGAGAAACAGAACCAAUAGAACAUAUAUUUAUAAUCAUAAUUUAUUAUGUAUUUAUAUAAUAUAGUAUAACCUUUAUAGUAGUGUAUAUAUUUAUUAUAAGGAAUUGUCAAGCUGGAGAGCAAAGAGAGGGGAUGUAUAGUUUCAGUCUGAGUCUGAAGGUGUGAGAACCAGGAGGGCUGGUGCAGGAAGUGCCGGGCUGAGCCUGAGUCCUGAGGCCGGAGAUGGCUGAUAUCCCAGCUCGCAGAGCGAAUACUCCCUUACUCAGCCUUUUGGUUCUAUUCAGGGCCUUAGUGGGUUGGAUCGCACCCACCCACAUUAGGGAGGGCCGUCUGCUUGACUGAGUCUACAGAUUCAGAUGCUCAUCCAGAAGGACCCUCCCAGAUACACCCAGAAUAAUAUUUAACCAACUAUCUGGGCACCGCAUGGCACAGUCGAGUUGACGCAUCAAAUCAUCAUCACACUCGGAAGGUGAUUUGUGCACUGUCCCAAGUGAGCCAGGUCAGAGCUGUGAGGACCCUGCCACCAAGUUCCCAGCUCUUGUGCUUCCCUUCUCCACGCACCCUCACACCUUUGGAUCCGUGCAUGGAAAAUGCACAUUUCCCACAUCUCGAUUAUUAACUUAUAAUUCUUGUGUAUCUAAUUAGUUCCAGUUUAUGCAUAUUUAAAUAAUUUCUAACAAAUUUCUGCGAUGUCUUGUGUAUAGUUUUCCUCAAAUGCUUAGAAAGAUGCUAUUUAAUCUACAUAUUUAGAAGAAUACUUUACAAAUUAAAUUUUUCCCAAUAAAAGUAAAUGGUUCAUUACUGAAAUUAAGAUUUCUUAUCAGUGCACUGUCAGUCUGUGAAUAUGAUGUGGAAGAUGGUACAGGUAUUAUUGAGGGGGUUUAGUUUGAGAUAACUUAGAAAGAAACAAUGAAAUGUUUCUUUGAUUGCGACUAGGCAAAACAGGGCAUUUUCUGUUGCUUUAUUCUUGCUUCCUAAAUGAGAAAAAUUUGCUGGGUCUUUACACUAGUAUGACUUGAUUAAAUCAUCUCCAUAAAGAUAUUAAAAAUCCACUGAGUGUUCUAGAAAUCAGAAGAAUCAGAGUACAUCAAAGUAAAUUGGAAGAACUGGUGCAGUGGGUGCCCCUAGACAGAUUGUGUGAGGGGGAGAAGGCGGGCAGGCCACGGCUGCUUCCGCCCACUGGAACAAAUGGGGUUUAUUUAUCGUUCACUGAGGACUGCUCUAUGCCAGUGACUGUCGUGAAGGCAUUAGAGAUUUGGAAAUGUUGAGUGACUUGCAGGAGUCACGCGAGGACCCAGAGGCCGAGCAGCAUCUCAGCCAGGUUUAUCUGGUUACAGCUGAUUCCGGCCACCACCAUUUCGGCUGUGCAAGUGAAAGCUGAUAAACAUCACUGCGAUGCUUGUUAAACAUUCAGAUUCUUGGCCCUGCUCCCUUGACUUUCUGGUUCGGGAGGAUUGGAAAGGAGUCCAGGAACUGGUGUUCUUAACAAGCAUCCCAGAUGUUGCUAAGGCAGGUAGGUGGUGAACUUCCCUAUGAGAAACUGCCCUGCGCUCUGCGUAGUGCCCUGCAUCUUGAGUCUCAGCUCCCCAAGCCUCUGGGAGCUGUGUCUACUAAUGCGCUUCACUGCUUUCUUGAUUUUCCGUAGUCCUGAGCUGCAUAAAGCAAUAAAUACAUCAGUGUCUUCCACCCUGGCUUUUGGGAAGGCUAGGAAAUUUUAGGAUCACAUGCAGACUGGGGAUUUGAAGACCCACCAUGAUGCGUUGCUUCCUUCCUUUGAUCCUUGGACCUCCUUUCUGCCUCUUGGGCCUGUGCCUCUCUCGGUGGUUGCAGGAUCCCGCGGUCCUUCUGUGUUGUAGCUCAGCCUCCACACUUAGUGCUUCUGGCUUCUCUGUUCCCCCAAGCUCUGCCAGAUUGCGCUGUGAGUAUCCAAACCCUAUUAGAGAAGACGGGGCCGUUAUUCAUCCUACAGAGCUGUAACUUUGUACUCUGACCAGUAUCUCCCCAUUUCUCCUACCUCCCUGCUCCUGGUAACCAGUGCUCUGCUUUCUGUGUCUAUGAAUUAGACUUUUUUAGGUUCUUCAUCUAAGCAAGAUUAUGCAGUAUUUUUCUUGGUGUGUCUGACUUAGGUCACUUAGCAUAAUGUCCUCUGAGUUUAUCUGUGUUGUCACAAAUGUACAGCAUGGGGACUAUAGUUAAUAACACUGUGUUGUAUACUGGCAGCUUGCUAAGAGAGUAGUCUCAAAUGCUUUGAGUGUGCGCGCACACAAAUUGGUAACUAUGGGAGGAGUUGGAUGUUAAUUAGCUUGACUGUGGUAAUCAUUGCACUAUGUGUACGAAUUUCAAAACAUCAUGUUAUACACAUAUGCAAUUUUUAUCAAAAAAUACAAUAAAAUAAAAAAGAAAGGGAAGUUUAUUCUCUUUGUGCUUCUUCUCUGAGCAUCAGGGUGUGUGCCUAGCAGGGGUCUGGUGUCCUGGGCCGAAUCUCACAGAUGAGAGCUGAGUGCUGAGUGUUGACCAUAAAGACUCUCAACUCUUCCCCGUCUCUCCCAUCUGAUGACUUUUAACUGUAGGUGAAAAUCUUUGUCUCCUCAUCUUUCUCACGAUUUCUGGAGUUGUGACAGAGACUGUGGUGGUGCCCGGACUGCUCAGCCAGCUCUCAACUGUAUUUAAUUCUUGCGUUUUUAUGCUGCCUGGCCUUUUAUCCAAUCCUUGUCAUUUUCUUUCCCUCCCUGCCACCUUCCUGCCUGAGUUAAAAUCUUUUACAAAUUUAAUUUUCUGGCCCUUAACUUCAGAUAAUUCUCCUGUAUAAUUGUAAAUAAUUACUCUUGCUUAUUCUCAAUUGGUAGAUUUGGCUACUUUUAAAAAGUGAUUUUUCUGUUGCCCAUGUAUAUUAAUCUGCCAGAAUCUUGCUCUUCCAAGGUAUCAAGUGGUUAUUUCUUUUAUCAAGCUAGUUGUCCAUAUUUUAUCCCUGGAAAGCCUUAGGUUACAAACCCAAGUCCUAACUUCUAGCUCAAAAUCCCAAAUUGCAAAGAAAUUCUCCUUAUUGAUUUUGUAUUUUUCAAUUUCAAAAUGUUUCUUAUAAUAAUUUUAGAGGUGAAGAAUAUUAAAAAAAUAGAUAAAAGACCGUUCUUUCUUAUCUCGUUCCACACCCCAGGUCGGAUCAUCUUUAGAAGUUUGAUGUUUAUCCUUUGAAACAUCGUCUAUGCUUUUUGAAAUACGCCAGUGUGUAGAUAUUCGCAAACCUGAAAUCCCAGUGGUUUUUCUAAUGUAAUGUCUUUUACUUCAUUUUGAUUGAAAUGGUCAUCCUUAACUUUUAUAUAUCUAAUGCUUCUGGCAGAAUAAACUCUUAAUAAAAGUACUAGUUAUUAUGGUCUUUAUAAUUUUCACGUGAAGAAAAUAUAUUGCAGUAUAUGUAAAAUUGCUGAAAUAAAAGGUUUAAAAAAGAAGGUUAACUAGUUAAGGAAGGUUCUUCUUAACUAGUGGCUCCUGAUCUUGGCUGCACAGUGGAGUCACCUGGGAGCUUUGAAAACCAUGGGUGCCUGUGUCUCACCUUCAGAGAUUCUGACUUAAUUGCUCUGGCAUGUGGCCAGGGCAUCAGGUUUUAAAUGCUCCCCAGGUAAUUCUGUUGUAUAGCCAAGAUCGAGAACCACUGUUCUAAACAAAGAUUAAGGAUCAUCAGUGUUAAAAUGCAAAAUAUAAUUAGGAGCAACCCCUUGGAGAAUGACUCCCUUUCUUAAUUAAAGACUUUUGCUAUUCAUGUGACUCCCAUUAGUAUGAGGUUUUCUUAGAACACAAGCAAGCAACCAACCAGAAGGAAACACCUACUUCUCAGGUAGAUAGUCUUUCCAAAGGUAUCACGUCGGUUGGUGCUGUAGUGGGCAUUCACCUGACGCCACAUUGGGCUGUGUCAGGAGGCUGUGUGGCUCCACCUCUUUUCCAGAAACAACCUAAAGGUGAGGGAGGGUGCUGAGCCUGGGUGGAGGGGAGCAAGAAGAGGGCAAGGAGCGACUCAUCUGUUAAGGUCAAAUGUCAAAUGUGGAGGUUAGGCAGGAGUAGAUAAGGAAAAGGAAAGAAGAAUAAGGAUUGGUUUGGGAGAAGGUUGCUGGGGUGGCUGUUAUGUCUCCCAAGCGUAUCAGCCACAAAUGAUGCCAAUUCCUGAUUCUGAGUCAAGAUCUUGCAGAAGUCUCUACUCCAGUGAGCCAGGCUAGGAUCUGGCCCCACUACCCUCCACUCCCAAAUUAGGAGUGGCCUGAGCUAAUUGCUGGGCAGGUAGGCUCCAGGUUGACAGGGACCCUCAGGCAUGACUCCCAUCAGGCUCCAACAACAGGAGGGGGUACGCGAAGAAGACACCUCAGGUCCCUCAGCUGUGGAACCCUCUGAGAGCUCAGGCAGUCACAGUCCAGUUUUCCUCGGGUGCAGUGCAAAUGUGACUCAUUUUAUGUUCAGCCAAACUUUUGAGGACACUGAGCUAUGCCUUCAGUGGGUGAGAGGUAGAGAUUUUGCAAAUGAUCAAGCAUCUAGUUGUACAUUUGCAACUGUUUAUCGGGGUUUGGACAGGAAGAAGGUGAGUGUGCUCCUUCCCAAUAUGGUGUGCACGACGGGCCACUGCUGACAGACGUGUGCUCCUGGACGGCCUCCCUGAAAGCUCUCCACCUGAGCAGAAGCGUUUCGUCAUUGCUCAUUCCCUCGCAGUUCUGAAAAGAAUGACUUUUUGUUCUUUGAAAGAAUCAUAAUAAAGUAAAAUGAUGGAGAUUCAAAGCUAGGAUUUUGUACGUAUAUGCUAGUGUGCGUACUGUGUGCAUGGGUAGUUUAUUUAAAAUCUGUUUCAAGAUUGAGACAUUUCCUGCAGUUUUCCUUAAGAAUUUUUAUUGAAAUUUGUCUAAAUGAUAGAGAAUGAAUAAAUUGUUUUCUUUUUCUCUCCAACGGAUUCUUAUGGAGGUGCCGGUGUGUGCAUGCCUGAUGGAGAAUUCCCGAGUCCUAGAAGGGUCAUUGGCCACGCAUUUUUAGUUGCAGCAGAAGAGCACUAUAAACACAGGGAUUCCGGGCUCUGCUUGUGGUGGUUCUUAUUCACGCAGACACUCAGCUAUCUCAAGCACUGUGAUCAGAACACCGCACUCAACUGCGCUGACUGCUCGCUGAUGCUGGAGCUGCCCAUCAACAGGGCCAGAAGUCUGCAGGAAGAGGGAAGCAGGGCCAGAGCACAGGUGUCCAUGCCACUUUGGAUGUCCUCUUAGUAUUGGAGCCACAGUGCCAGUGGGGACAGGGAUGUCACCUCAAGCUUUAAUGCACACCCACCAUGAAAUCGUUCUUUGGCACCUUGCUGAACUGGUUCUCCUUGGGAUUAGCUCUAACCCAGGGAAGGAGGAACACUAUGGAAAGGGUGCAGAUGGAGCAAAAGCCUCGUCCUCUUUUCAAAGAGCUUCAGAUAUUUCAUUGCCACAUGAAAAUAACAGAAGCAUUGUCAAAAGAACCAUCCAUCAGAGAAGCUUUGAUGAGUUAGCUCAACCUGUGUGCAAAAACAAAAAUGAAAGUGUAAGAAGCCUCUUCAGGAGCAUGCCGCCAUGACUGCAUAAUGAAAAUUGCUUCCUCUCAGGCCAUGAUUUCUUCUUGGCUAUGUCAUUAAGUCUUAUGAAAACCUUAGUAUUGAGAGCUAAAUGAAAGCUUGUGAGUUUUGGUCUCCCAUUGUGAAUCUAGCUUAUGUUGGAGAAUUAUUUCCUCAGUUAGCCUUCUGAGUGUUAAUAUAUUGCAGAGUUUAAACACAACUGCAUUGGGCGUUUCCAUUUAAAACAGAGCUUUUACAUGAUUCAUGAUGGGUAUUUCACAUUUCCCUCUUUCUAAAGAUCUAGGAAAUUAUUGUACAAGUUGUAAGUAAUGUGUCUGUAAGAACAAAGCAAUAUGUUUUAAACAGCUCAAGAUCAUUCUAUGGAAAGCUCCAUUCUAUCUAAUGCAUAUACACCUUAGCAGCCUUUCUCUUGGGAAAAUGUGAAAUAUGAUGCCCUAUGGAAUUGUAGAUUGGUAAGCCUAAUAUUUGUUGUUCUGAAAAUCCUUUUGUAAGAAGUUAGAAGAAAGUGUAUCCAUCUAAGUGUUAGAAGGGCAGAAUUCUGGGUUCAAUUCCUCUCCUUUUAGCUGUGUGACCUGAGACAAGCCAUGCAACUUCUCUGAGUCCAAAUUUCCUCUUCUUUGAAAUGGGCAAACUAGCUUUUACUCAACAUUCUCCUGAGUUGUAAAAAUCAAAGAAGAUAUUAGAUGAGACCGUGUUUGAAAGCAGCUGUAUACAAAACAAAUGAAAAGUUGAGACAAUCUAGAAAAUAGUGUGAAUUGUUCUAUUUAGUAAACUGAAUAUGUUGUCUUAAUUGCUCAUAGUGGACUCCCACCCUCAUCCCCAGGCUGAGGCCUGCAGUUUGCGUGUUUCAGCCUGUUAUCCCAUCUCCUCCCUUUCAGAGGUUGAUGGUCUGGGGUUAUCAGGAGUUAGGUCAUAGUUCACAAGAGGCGUCAGAUGGAGCCUCAUCAUCAAAAUAACCCAGGAGAUUAUCGGUAGCUACUAACAAUUGGAAGUCCGUGGUUUUCACAGUUGUACCACUUCCUUCUUGUAGUGAAUGUUUUGCUAUAUCCAAGGUCUAAUGGGUUUUGAAGGUGGGACUGAUGAAUUCAUAGGUUUCUCGAUCUACCUGGUUGGUAGGAUUCUCUCAAGUCUGUACAGUGGAGCACAGCAUUAUUUUGAACUUGGAUAUUUAACCUUGUAGCAUUCUCUUAGCAUUCUUUUUAAUUGAAGGGUUUGUUUUGUUUUUAUUUUUGCCUGCGUCUCUCAACAAAACCUUUUAGAGUUUUUUCUUUUUCUUUUUUCAGUAAACAAGUCUUUAUCUGACAAAAGGAAAUAGCUGGAGAUAUACCUUCACAAAACCCCCAAUGAUAUUCCCCUGACGUGUGCUGUCCCAGUUUUAUAAAUUAGAAAUCUGGUCAUCUCAGCCUAGUCUCUGAGCAGCGCCAGCUGUCUUCUCUUUCUAACGCUGCAAAGAUGCUUUGAAGCUUCUUCUGUAUUGUGUUGGCAACAUUAGCACAGAAAGAUUUGAAGACUAUAAUAGCUGGAAAAGGUUACACAGCCUCACAUAAUUGACUAUGGCAAUAUAAAAUAUUGCCUGCUCUGUUUUGUAACAAAGUAGGUAUUGCUUUCUUUCGGAUUUGAAGGGAAACAAAGUAAAGCAGAAUUGCCUUUGCUAUUAAGUUUCCAGGUUAAAAGCUGCAAAUCUGUGUUGUAAAGUGUGUCUUUCCUGGCUGUGUAUAGUAAAUUACCAUCCUAUCCUGCUGUACAGACAAUAUGUUUCCAGCUUAAUGAAUCAGGUGCUUUGUAUUUUCUCCAGCUAUUUAGUGUAGGGCAAUUGGGCUCAUAAAAAGAGGAACAGCAUUGAGGGACAUCAGUUAGUUUAGUUUGUCUGCCUUCAAAUAAUUGUCAGGUAAAAUAAUUAUGUGGAUUUUUUUUUUAAUUCAAGAGAUAAAGUCGAAAUAUUUUGGUUUUUUUCCUGUUAUAAAUAAAAAUUCAAAAUGAAUCAUACUUAUCUGGAGAUUGCUUUGCACUGCAGCAGCAACUGUUAGUCGCAUGCUGAACCCACUCAGAGAGUCCUGGUCUGAGGAAGUAGAUUUCUCAGUGAAAGAACUGUUUGUUUAUGUUACUAUUGCACAAUUUGAAACCAAAGGGCCAGUUAGGGUUAAUGUUACUUUUACUUUGUGUGGUUUUGGGUUUAUGUAUUUGCUUGAGUCUGAUAGGCAUUUAGGAAAACAUCUGUGAAAGGACCAGAUUCAUUCUUUCCAUCUUCAUUACUGUACCUUUAAAAAUGAAAGUGACGAGACACUCUUAAACAACAGAGCCAUUCUGGGAACUCCUCUGAGGAGCUCUUAAGAAUUUAAACACUAUUCAAACAAUUUUCACAAGACAAAACCACUAUUGGAGCACUUUGGAAACAGGUAUCAGGGCAAAAUAAAAAUUUUCUAUAUUUAUAUGUUAAACCAAGAAUCACAAAGUCAAAUUCAUCGUAAGGAAGAAGAUAAAUGCUGUACUAAUGGCUACUACCAGGGUUUACAAAAGGAAAGAGCAAUAAAAAGACUGCUUCUCAGGUAUUUUAGAAGUAAUAGAAAUAAGCCUCUAAAGAGAAGCAUAAAAUAUUUAUUGAGGAGUACACUGAACACUCUAGAAUUACGCAGGGCUGGUGACAGUGAUUAAAUGUUCUGUGGCUGCAUAGAGAGAUGCUGAGGUUUUUAUGUACAAGAUAUUGAUUACAUGAUGAAUCCCAACAGUCUGUUUCCUGCAGUUGCUUGCAACAUGGGGAGAAAUGAAAAUAACACAUAAAUUUUUGUAGGCUACAUUGCAUGCAAAAUGGAGCAGGUGAUGAGCUAAAUGAUUGAUGAGUUUCCUUCUCCCAUUCAUAAACGUGAGCAUUGCGUAAUGAAUUAAUCUGUUUGAAACCAGGAACUAUAGCUAUAGCAUACAAUUAUAAAAAAUGGCAAUGGAAUACUCACAUUUUCAGUUCAAACUUAAGACUGAUUCCUUUUUUUGGUUUUUAUUUAAAAUCUCAAUGUGCAAUGCUGCUUACUAGGAUUUUUUUCUAUUGGCAGCAUUCAAGCAUAUGAAAUAGAGGACCCUUACGUAAAUUAAAGAAAAAUAGGGAAAAAGUUGCACAUUUUGAAAUGAUUUGAUGGUGUUUCUAUUUCAAAGUUCCUAUGUAGAUGGGUGCUACAUAGAUUAUAUUAAAUCUUAGUUACUCCUCUGAUUCUUAUCAACACCUUUUAUUUUCUUUAUUGCUUAACAUCAAGCUUUAAUUUUGAAUAUAGUUACUCCUAAAUAAGAAAAAAAUGGUUAAGAAGGAAAACAGAAACACAGAAUCAGCAGCAGGAUGACUGGAUGCAAAUGAGAACUUGAGUCUUAGGAAAAGGGAGUUAAGACAGCCUGAAAACGACCAAAACAACUCGCCUAUCCACAUGACUCCAGCCCGCUUUAUCCUCCAUGCUACGGUUUCCAUCAAAUUCCCCACUGACCAAACCCUCUCUUGACCUUUUCACAUCCUCACAAGAGUCAACUCAAAGAAAGGAUCAGCUACCCAGUCUUGUUUCUGUGCUUUUUCUUCAGUGUUCGUGGAAAAAAAAUGGAGUCAAGUGUCAAAGUGAACAUCAAAGUUGAAUCAGAAAAUAAAAUAAGACCUAGCAGAAAGCUCUUUGUAAUCCUAUUGUCUCUUUUAAAAGCUUCACCCUAAUGGAUGAUGAAAUGAAAAGGUGAAGUGGAGUUCAGGAGAGAGAGAGUUUAUGGUUAAUGGGCUUUGGAUGGAAUUGCGUCCCAGGGCAUUUGUCUCCUUGCGUUUCUUUAGAUAAGAAUAUCUUCAUAUAUUUUUACAGAUCAUAGAAUAUAUCUGUAUUUAUAUACAAAUAUGUUUAACUCACAAAUUGUUUACAAGUUAUGAUAUAUGAAGCACAUAGUGUAUCUUAUACUUGCAAGUAUAUUGUGCAGUAGGUGAUGGGGAAGUGUCGUGCUAAAUUUUAAGGGUGAAAGCAAUGUGAAUGCUGUUUUGCAAUUUACCCACUAGGAAUGGUAGGCUGCGAUAUGAAGGAUGAUUUAUUUAAUAAUUAUCUCAGUGUAAAAUUUAAAGGAUUGAAGUCAAGAAAUACAUUUCAGGUGUUUCAAAUUGAAAUGUAAUAUUUAGCACAGGGGAAAAUGUUAGAGAAAUCUUAAUAUUUAUAAAAAAAUUAUUAGUAAAACUUCCAAACAUUUAUAAAAUUAGAGAUAAUAUUAUGAUGAACCCUUAAGUCCCAUCACUCAGCUUCAACAUUGUCAAUAUAUCGCCAAUCUUGUUUCAUCUAAAUCCUUGAACACUUUCCUCCAUCAGGGGAUUAUUUUGAGGGAGAUCUCAGACAUCAUAGCAUUUCUUUCAUACAUACUUUAUCUCUUUAAAAGGAAAGUUCUUCUUUUUUUAUAAAACAAACUACUAUGCUACUAUCUUGCCCAAAAUUAGCAAUUACUCCUUAAUGUCAUGAAACAGUUCGUCAGAGUUCAGAUUUUCCCUAAUUGCCUUACACAUGAUUUUUAGACUUUCUUUGAAUCAGGACCAAACACGUUCACAUCUAGGGGAUCCCAUUUUUUUUUUUCUUAUUACAAUAAGUCCUGGAAAAGAAUAUACCUUUUGGAGCCUAGAAAUCUACUUUUACAGAUCCAUCUGAUGGUUCUGCCUUAUCUUUAUAGAUUUGGUUAUCUUUCUUGAAAAUGUAAUCCUUCUCUUAGGUGUUUUCCUCUGAAGAAUCAUUCAGACCGAGGCACCUUUUGAGGCACUGACUUUCUUUUAUGAAUCCUACAAAAGAAAUGAAACUCUCUAAAGUAAACGGUGACCCAAGAGUCCGAUGACAUUUAAUUUGGGCACUUAACGUUUAUGUGGUGGCCACAACCACCAUGAAUCUAAAGUGUGUUCUUUCAUCUGUUUUAUCUUGUCAAAAAUUUCAUGACUUUGACCUUUUCUUUUCCCACAAUCUAUACAUAUAUAGUAGAAUUUUAAAAGUAUUUUUGGCAAUCAAGAUUUUCUUCUGAUCCUUGUGUGAAAAAAGAAACAUUUAUGAUCUUGAAAAAAGCAUAUGUUAACUUCCUUUGAAUUCUUUAGAUCAGCUAAAAGAUGAAUUUGCCAUUUUAAGAAUAUAAUAUCGAAAAGAUCUGUCUUCAAAGUGAACCCAUGCAGGAAUACUUUUUUAUCUUAGGGAAUUUAUAUUUUUUAAAGGAAACAGUAACCAAAUUUGAAAACCAGUGUGUACCCAAUAGAUCAAGCUUUUCAAAGAACCAUGUCUCAAAAAAUAGAGCUUUUGAUUUCUUAAAAUGAUCUCUGAAGUCCCAUUUUGAAAUACAUAAAUCAACAAAUUGAAUUUUAAUGGAAAAUCAAGGGUAUUUUUUGAAAGACUCCUGGAUGAAGCUUUGAAAAAUAUGAAGACAGAGAAUUAUCAGCUAGUUAUAACAGCAUUGACUUGAUUCCAAUACUUUAUUUUUAAGUGAAAAAAGAUAUAGCAUCAAGGACAAAUGAAGCAAGCAGCUUGUUUAAAAACAGAACUGGCACAUCCCACCUUUUUCCCCCUCUGUGGGUUUUCUUCUCAGCCUGCUGAACCAUCUGGCAAAGCACCAACCGCUAAAAUCAUAAUCGCAUGUUCUACAUCCACUUCAAUAAAGUUAUAAGUUGCCUCUUUAUAAUUGUCGCUGUAUGUUUAUCUUUUGAUUAUAAAAUAAUAAAAUAGAAAAUGAGGCCACCAUGUUGUACAGCACGUUCAAUAAAAUGUUGGUAUAGACUUCCUCCCAUUCAAUAAUAUAAUAUUUAAAAUAUAAAAACGUGUGGAUUUCACGUACAUUGUCUUUGUGAAGUAAUCUGUGAGAUUUAUAUUAUUAUUCCCAGGUACAGGUGGAGGAACUGACACCUGGGGUUGGAUGAGCAGCCAGUGUUCACGGUCCACGGCAGGGGUAUUCCCCAGGUUUGGGUUUUAGCUACAAGUCACACGUGCGUUCUACCUCAUUGUGCUUUAUGUACUAAUCCACAUAAGAAAAAGGACAAAUGCAAAGUGAUAAAAUACAAUUUCAGACUAGGGAGAGCUUCCCUUUGAGUGGGAAAAAUUGAAGAAAUAAGCCAAUAAGCGGGAGAAAAUUGAGAGUAAUUGCUAAAGGGCCAGAAAAUUAAAAUGGCAUAUCUCUUCUAGAAUGUGCUAAAGGCCGUAGAUCUAUGCUUGUUCCUCUGCAAUUUGCUCUUCUGUGUGUUCUCUCAAUCAGGAAAAUGGUGAUCGCUUUAGCCUUUGCUAAGUUUCCUACAUUGUGUAAUUACAACAAAUAUAUAGUCAUUGAGAAAGGAAGUUAUUUUUCAGCUAAGGAUGCCAAUGUGUCAUAAUGAGUAAAGACAUUAUUAAAUCUUAAAUAAGUAUAGAUAAUGGGUAAUAUGUCAUGUAUUAUUAUGCUUUAAUUUUGAGUGUAUGUAUUUGAUUCAUGACCAGUGGGAAUAUUUAAGCUGUGUAUAGAGAGGACAAAAAGAGAAACACUGCUUGUCUUGUUAUACUCGCAAUCUGCUUCUUGAGCCUUUGGCUUUAUUUCAUCCACACUCUGGCCUGGAAUCUUUACUAUCUGGUUCCCAGGAUAGUUUGGCUUAGGGAUGGUGUAUGUGUCUGUGUAUAUGUGCGUUUACAUAAAGACUUUCAAAGUUCCCUGAAUUUGGGGUACUAUGGAGUAGCUAUGUCAUUUAAUCUAGUCAAAAUUGGUCCUAUCUGGGAUUCUCCUGAUAAAUGCUACUGGAACAAAUUAUUUUUAUACUUGCUUCAAUAGCAUAUCAUAUUGCUUAAUACAAACUAAAAAAAAAAAAAAACCCCACAACAAAAUAGAACUAAGAUUGUGUGUGAAAACUCUUUAUAGUUCGAAUAAUAACCUUGACAGUUCAACCCUUCAGUAGAGUUUUAUGUGAAAAUGUUACUGUGCUGGUUUUCUAGCAUGGUUUGUUUCCAUGAAUUAUUCUGUUUGGAACCCUCUGUACUGUGUAGGGUUGGCUUGUGUAUUUGCCUGCUUCUUGGCCUGGGGUUUUCUUGUGAUUUAUGCUCGUCUAGUCCACAGGAGUUUUCGGAAGAGCUCCCAGAGGUGUAGUGGCCCCAGUCUGUGCCCGGGUGAGGGAGGAUGAUCAAGCCUUUGCAUUGUGCUCUGCUCCUGGUUCACCUCUGCAAGGAUUUCAUGCUGAAGGAGAUCGAACUCAAUGAAUUCUGUGACUACACAUUCGAUAGACACACUUUCGGGGUGUGCCUUCUUCUGCUCUUUAUCCAUAAUCUCUUUAUUUCAUUUCAUUAAAUGGUUACUUCAGUUAGUCUGCAACUUAAAAGAAAUUUGAAAUACUUUUUCGUUUUUGCUGCUGUAUAUUCACUUUUUUUGGAUGUACUUACCUUAUUAAAUCUGCUAUUACUUAGGCAUUGUUCUACGACUACUUGUCUUUUUUUCUAUAUCUUAUUGCUUUUCUAAAUCCGCUUAUUUCAUAUGGCCCUUUAAUAUUUAAAUUUCUUAUUCUUAAUUUCUUCGAUACAUGUUUAGCUAUUUUUUUAAUUUCAAAACC
Molecule: non-coding RNA, 16280 nt
Organism: Equus caballus (horse)
Lineage: Eukaryota; Metazoa; Chordata; Mammalia; Perissodactyla; Equidae
Source: RefSeq, a predicted model, not a curated record